Molecule: ribosomal RNA, 254 nt
Filed under: uncultured bacterium
Lineage: Bacteria
Description: partial 16S ribosomal RNA
Rfam family: Bacterial small subunit ribosomal RNA
Source: RNAcentral
GACGAACCGUGCGACCGUUAUUCGGAAUCACUGGGCUUAAAGCGCGUGUAGGCGGCCCGGCACGUCCGUCGCUGAAAUCCCCCGGCUCAACCGGGGAAGUGGCGUGGAUACGACCGGGCUGGAGGGGGGUAGGGGGAGCCGGAACUUCCGGUGGAGCGGUGAAAUGCGUUGAGAUCGGAAGGAACGCCCGUGGCGAAAGCGGGCUCCUGGACCCCACCUGACGCUGAGACGCGAAAGCCAGGGGAGCGAACGGG